RNAcentral lists this ribosomal RNA (253 nucleotides) under uncultured bacterium. RNAcentral describes it as "partial 16S ribosomal RNA". It matches the Rfam family "Bacterial small subunit ribosomal RNA", at positions 524 to 776 of the family's 1533-position model. The record is from RNAcentral.
UACGUAGGGGGCUAGCGUUGUCCGGAUUUAUUGGGCGUAAAGAGCGUGUAGGCGGCCAGGUAGGUCUGCUGUGAAAACUCGAGGCUCAACCUCGAGACGUCGGCGGAAACCAUCUGGCUAGAGUCCGGAAGAGGAGAGUGGAAUUCCUGGUGUAGCGGUGAAAUGCGCAGAUAUCAGGAAGAACACCCGUGGCGAAGGCGGCUCUCUGGGACGGUACUGACGCUGAGACGCGAAAGCGUGGGUAGCAAACGGG